AAACCUCUCGCGAGCGCCCGAAUGUUUUUAAUUGUUCAAUCGAAAUCGUGUAACAUUAACAUUUAUUUCGCCUUCUUCUUCUUCUCAUUAUUUCCAUCCUCGCCAGGUCUUCUUUCUCCCUCUCGGCGUCUAUGCGUCUCUGUCAGUUUCUUUUGGUGUCUUUCUCGUGUUCGCCGCUUUUAGUUCGCGCGAGGUGCUCGUGUCGCGGGAUAUUUACCGUUCUAGUUUUUCAUAUUUUUUUUAUUUUAUUCUUCGUUUUUUUGCUUUCUUGAUUACGCCAAUUUAAUUUUGUAGACCUUAGGGUUCAUUCUAAUUUUUGGUGUAUAUGUGCUGUAGUUCGUUUUGAUAACGGAAAAAUAGUGAUGGAUCAACUGUACCGGGCUCUCACGCGGAGGCCUUUUUGGUGAAAUCAAGUGUUCCGGAAAAUGUUUUGACUCGUUAAUUUAUUAUUAUAAUGAUACUCGAAGUACACGUGCGAUACGCUCUUUUGUCAGCCGGGCGACGAAAUGAUCCAUAUCUUAUUGAUAUCAUAUUAUGGACGACGAAAAUACAGAGAAGAAGGUGUGAGGAUUUUUCAAGAUGUACCACUCACACAUGGAUUGAGCGCAGGACGGGAUGUUUCCAUCUGCAGACAAGGAAAUACCGGCCGACGUCCUGAAUAGAUGGCCCUCUUUAAAUCAGCGAACAACACUCAGCAAUAAGUUUAAGAACGCAGUUGUGCAAUUGCCAAUGGUCAGAUAGCCCCAAAUCACCUUUAUUGCCACGAGCCCCUCGGAAACAAUACCUUUUGAACCGUAAUCCUGUGAAAGUUACAAAAAAGCGGCCCGCUUUGCCUUCCCCCGAAGUGCGGCAUCGUAAUUCUCUCGUAACCGAAAAGUGUUACGUUAAUUGCGAGGAUUGUGCAGAAAACCACCCGGGCGGCAUGUGUUCUGUCGGCCGGUCAUUCGCCAGCUCACAUCCUAUUGUUCUCGGCUAAUCAAUUAAUUGUCUCCCAAAUUCGCCCGUUCGUUGACUGAAGUGAUACGGUGUGUAGUCGGGUGUUUCAGUGAAGUUUGAUCCGAUCCCCGAAUUUCAGCCCGCCAAGUUUGUUCCUCUGUGCCG
RNAcentral lists this long non-coding RNA (1101 nucleotides) under Bemisia tabaci. RNAcentral describes it as "lncRNA ENSSSA3NGG006929". Lineage: Eukaryota; Metazoa; Arthropoda; Insecta; Hemiptera; Aleyrodidae. The record is from RNAcentral.